This 235-nucleotide ribosomal RNA is filed under the name uncultured bacterium. Its description in RNAcentral is "partial 16S ribosomal RNA". It matches the Rfam family "Bacterial small subunit ribosomal RNA", at positions 99 to 334 of the family's 1533-position model. The record is from RNAcentral.
CGAACGGGUGCGUAACACGUGAGCAACCUGCCCCGAAGUCUGGGAUAACACCGGGAAACCGGUGCUAAUACCGGAUACCCCCACCGGAUCGCAUGGUCUGGUGAGGAAAGAUUUAUCGCUUCGGGAGGGACUCGCGGGCUAUCAGCUUGUUGGUGGGGUAACGGCCUACCAAGGCAUCGACGGCUAGCUGGUCUGAGAGGACGACCAGCCACACUGGGACUGAGACACGGCCCAG